Molecule: ribosomal RNA, 1462 nt
Filed under: Vibrionaceae bacterium LS5
Lineage: Bacteria; Pseudomonadati; Pseudomonadota; Gammaproteobacteria; Vibrionales; Vibrionaceae
Description: 16S ribosomal RNA
Rfam family: Bacterial small subunit ribosomal RNA
Source: RNAcentral
UCGCAGCUACACAUGCAGUCGAGCGGAACGAGUUAUCUGAACCUUCGGGGAACGAUAACGGCGUCGAGCGGCGGACGGGUGAGUAAUGCCUAGGAAAUUGCCUUGAUGUGGGGGAUAACCAUUGGAAACGAUGGCUAAUACCGCAUAAUGCCUACGGGCCAAAGAGGGGGACCUUCGGGCCUCUCGCGUCAAGAUAUGCCUAGGUGGGAUUAGCUAGUUGGUGAGGUAAUGGCUCACCAAGGCGACGAUCCCUAGCUGGUCUGAGAGGAUGAUCAGCCACACUGGAACUGAGACACGGUCCAGACUCCUACGGGAGGCAGCAGUGGGGAAUAUUGCACAAUGGGCGAAAGCCUGAUGCAGCCAUGCCGCGUGUAUGAAGAAGGCCUUCGGGUUGUAAAGUACUUUCAGUUGUGAGGAAGGGGGUGUCGUUAAUAGCGGCAUCUCUUGACGUUAGCAACAGAAGAAGCACCGGCUAACUCCGUGCCAGCAGCCGCGGUAAUACGGAGGGUGCGAGCGUUAAUCGGAAUUACUGGGCGUAAAGCGCAUGCAGGUGGUUCAUUAAGUCAGAUGUGAAAGCCCGGGGCUACAACCUCGGAACUCCAUUUGAGAACUGGUGAAGCUCUAGAGUACUGUAGAGGGGGGAUAAAAUUCUCAGGUGUAGCGGUGAAAUGCGUAGAGAUAUGAGAGGAUAUCACCAGUGGAGAAGGGCGGCCCCUCUGGACAGAUACUCACACUCAGAUGAGAAAGCGUGGGAGAACACACAGGAUUAGAUACCCUGGGAGUGCCACACCGUAUAACAGAUGUCUACGGGGAGGUUGUCCCCGUGACCCGUCGCUUUCGAGAUAUCACGCGAUAUGUAGACCCCGUGGAGGAGUACGCUCACGCAGUAUAAAACUCAAAAGAAUUGGCGGGGCCGCGCACAAGCGGGGGCACAUGUUGUAUAUUUAGAUACAACGAGAAGAACUUUAUAUUCUCGUCACACACAGAGAACACAGCGGAGACGCAGGUGUGCUUUGGGGAUCUGUGACACAGGUGGCACAUGGCUGUUCUCAUCUCGUGGUGAAAAAUGGGGGUAUAAGUCGCACAGCGAGCGCACCCCAUAUCCGUGUUUCACAGCGAAUAAUGUCGGGAUCCACAGGGAGUCUCGCGGUUAUAACCCGGAAGAAGGGGGGGGCGACCUCAACUCCUCAUGCCCUUUGAGAAUAGGUACACACGCGUUAUACAGUGGCACAUACAGAGGGCUGCAAACUUGAGAGAGUGAGAGAAUCACAAAAAGUGUGUUAUAGUCCGGAUGAGAGUGUACAUCUCGUCCACAAGAUGUGGGAAUCUAUUGUUAUUGUAGCUCAGAAUUAUGCGGAGAAUACUUUCCCGGGCCUUGUACACCCCGCCCCUCACCACAUGAGAGUGGUCACAAAAGAAGUGUAUAGUAUACCCUUGGGGAGGACGCUCACCACUUAGUCAC